RNAcentral lists this ribosomal RNA (253 nucleotides) under uncultured bacterium. Its description in RNAcentral is "partial 16S ribosomal RNA". It matches the Rfam family "Bacterial small subunit ribosomal RNA", at positions 524 to 776 of the family's 1533-position model. The record is from RNAcentral.
UACGUAGGCAGCAAGCGUUGUUCGGAGUUACUGGGCGUAAAGAGUGCGUAGGCGGUGCUCUAAGUUUGGUGUGAAAUCUCCCGGCUCAACUGGGAGGGUGCGCCGAAAACUGGAGUGCUUGAGUGUGGGAGAGGCAAGCGGAAUUCCUGGUGUAGCGGUGAAAUGCGUAGAUAUCAGGAGGAACACCUGUGGCGAAAGCGGCGCACUGGACCACAACUGACGCUGAGGCGCGAAAGCUAGGGGAGCAAACAGG